CAGCUCAGAACGAACGCUGGCGGCAGGCUUAACACAUGCAAGUCGAACGCCCGUAGCAAUACGGGAGUGGCGGACGGGUGAGUAACGCGUGGGAACGUGCCCUGAGGUAGGGAAUAACUGAGGGAAACUUCAGCUAAUACCGUAUGAGCCCCGCAAGGGGGAAAGAUUUAUCGCCUUGGGAGCGGCCCGCGUCGGAUUAGCUAGUUGGUGGGGUAACGGCCUACCAAGGCUUCGAUCCGUAGCUGGUCUGAGAGGACGAUCAGCCACACUGGGACUGAGACACGGCCCAGACUCCUACGGGAGGCAGCAGUGGGGAAUCUUGCGCAAUGGGCGAAAGCCUGACGCAGCCAUGCCGCGUGAAUGAUGAAGGCCUUAGGGUUGUAAAGUUCUUUUACCCGUGACGAUGAUGACGGUAAC
This 417-nucleotide ribosomal RNA is filed under the name uncultured bacterium. Its description in RNAcentral is "bacterial SSU rRNA". It matches the Rfam family "Bacterial small subunit ribosomal RNA", at positions 20 to 479 of the family's 1533-position model. The record is from RNAcentral.